RNAcentral lists this long non-coding RNA (702 nucleotides) under Ananas comosus (pineapple). RNAcentral's name for it is "long non-coding RNA (ACOM_LNC021677)". The record is from RNAcentral. Lineage: Eukaryota; Viridiplantae; Streptophyta; Magnoliopsida; Poales; Bromeliaceae.
CAUCUUUUUGUUUUUCACGGGCAAUACUGACCGUCCCUAGCUUAAGUGUCAAAGGACUUGAUGGUUGAUAUUUAAGAUUUUAAAUUCAAAGCGUAAUUAGUUAUUUAGGAUAAUUGCCUAUAUACUCCUCAUACGCUUGAAAAUAUCCGAUUUAUCCCUACUUUUUUUUUUCUUUCUAAAAUACCACUCAUAUGUUCCACCGUUAUUGUAAAAUACCUCCGCAGUUUUUUCCUGUUAAGUUAAUUAACCUAGGUUAAACGUGAGUUAAAUAUCUACCACAACUAAAAAAAAUUAAAAUCUUAACUUAAGGGCAAAUAAGAAAGGUUGGUGACGGUAGAGGGGUAUAUUGGAAAAGACCAAAAGUCAAAAUAUUUUUUUUGCCUCUGACUUUAAGGGCAAAUAAGAAAGACAGUGAUGGUGGAAUGGUAUAUUUGAAAGGACAAAAUAGUAAUUUUACAGAGAUAUAUAACAGAGUUAAUUAACAGAUUUUAACUCUAGGGGUAUAUUAGAAAUAAUUAAGUUGAAACAUAGGAAAAGCAUUUUCAAUAUUAGCCUUCUAGGAGAGGUAAAUCGGAAAGUCGAAAACUUUUUAGGGGUAUAUAAGCAAUUGCUCCUAGUUAUUUUACAUUUUCAACUAAAUUUAUUUCUACACAAAUUUUGAAUGGAACUAUCAGUAGCAUGCUACCGUUCUUUCUCACCAAA